UUUCUCUGCUUUUCUUUUAUCCCUUUCUUUCUUCUUUAUUCCCAUGUUUUUGAUCACAUACUGUGUGUCAGCCUCUGUUAAGCUCAUCUGUGCAGAGUCUAUACUCACUGCCUGUCCUCCUCUCAUAGUCACUUGUCAAUUCAUUUUCAUUAGCCUUCUCCCUCCACCCUCCUUUCCUGAGUCUGUUCCCACUGAGGUCAACCCAGUGUUCAUAUUACUGAACCCAGUGGCCAUCUUUCUGUUUCUUCUUUUACCAGACCUCUUCACUGAACUAGAUAAUGUUAAUUAGUCCUGGCUGGAGCGCAAGUCUCCUUUGACAUCUAUUUGCACUGUUCCUCUGCUUGAACCACUCUGUCUAUUCCUUCUCUGUCCCUUAAAUUUUUGGCUUCUUGUGGGUUGGGUUUUUGGUAUUCUUCUUUGUCUAGCACCACCCUUGCUUGCCAUCGUGCCCUCAUUCAGGCCUGGGCUUUGACUUGAAUAGCUUCUGAAUCUCUAUGCUCUGCCUGUAUUGGAUAGCUGGCAGGCUAUGGGCAUGGGCUGCUAGGUCCCAGACAACUCACACUCUCAUCUGAUAAGUGGGUUUUAAUGUGACCCUUGUUGUACCUCCUUAUUUCUAUUUCAGUCUCACUUACUGCUUCCUCUUUAUCUGUUUUCAAGUCUUCCUACUAGAUAUUUCCUUAAGAAGGCAGAGAAACCGUGCUCUCUUAGUAAUUGCACAAUUGAAAUUAUUCCUCUUGAAUAUUUGAUGAUGACAUAUUUUGACUUGAUAUAGCUUUUUCAAUCUUACAGGAAUUCUAAAGCUGGAGGAAUGUUUAAACUCCUUCCAGCUGCCAGUUUCACGUGAGAAGAGUUGCUUGAUUUUAAGGGCUCU
This 871-nucleotide long non-coding RNA is filed under the name Homo sapiens (human). RNAcentral's name for it is "HSALNT0154420". The record is from RNAcentral. Lineage: Eukaryota; Metazoa; Chordata; Mammalia; Primates; Hominidae.